GAUGAAGAACGUAGCGAAAUGCGAUAAGUAAUGCGAAUUGCAGAAUCCGUGAGUCAUCGAAUCUUUGAACGCACAUUGCGCCCUGUGGUAUUCCGCAGGGCAUGCCUGUUCGAGCGUCAUUUCAACCCUCAAGCUCUGCUUGGUGUUGGGCCCUGCCCGCUGCGGCCGGCCCUAAAGACAGUGGCGGUGCCGCCUGGCCCUGAGCGUAGUACAUCUCUCGCUCCAGUGCCCGGUGGUAGCCUGCCAGAACCCCAACUCUCGUGGUUGACCUCGGAUCAGGUAGGGAUACCCGCUGAACUUAAGCAUAUCAAUAAGCGGAGG
RNAcentral lists this unclassified non-coding RNA (321 nucleotides) under soil metagenome. RNAcentral describes it as "partial contains 5.8S ribosomal RNA, internal transcribed spacer 2, and large subunit ribosomal RNA". The stretch from base 1 to 119 matches the Rfam family "5.8S ribosomal RNA", at positions 35 to 154 of the family's 154-position model. The record is from RNAcentral.